This 231-nucleotide unclassified non-coding RNA is filed under the name Hevea brasiliensis (rubber tree). The record is from RNAcentral. Lineage: Eukaryota; Viridiplantae; Streptophyta; Magnoliopsida; Malpighiales; Euphorbiaceae.
GGGUGGGGGUGUUGGGAGUGGGGGAAAGGGGGAGAAGAAUCCAUUCAAAAGUAAAGGGUCAUAAAACACACAAAAUGGAGCCUCUUAAUGCAAAACCAUACCUUUAAGCACUGUGUGAUUUAAGUUAAAAAGAGAGUUCAAGCAACUAGAAAAGAAGGUACAAAAAAAUUUCUAGUUAGAUAUCACUCAAAUACAACACAACCAUUUUAUAAUAUAAAGGUAUUAAAGUGU